Molecule: non-coding RNA, 267 nt
Organism: Maylandia zebra (zebra mbuna)
Lineage: Eukaryota; Metazoa; Chordata; Actinopteri; Cichliformes; Cichlidae
Source: RefSeq, a predicted model, not a curated record
GCCACCGGACCCGUGGCAGGCCGCCGGAGGAGCAGCGCCGCCGCCACCGGAUCCGUGGCAGGCCGCCUGAAGCGUUCCGCUUCCAUCAUGGGGUUGGAGGAGGAAUUGUGGCGACCAGGAGGCAGCACACGGAGAGUACACAGGGAACGGAGACAGAGCACGGAGCACGGGAUAAAGGAGAAGACACGGAACGGGAGUUGGGAUCGCACGGGGGGAUUUAUUGUUGUUCGGAUUGUCACCACUGUAAAUAAACACUGUUGCACUGUA